Molecule: ribosomal RNA, 207 nt
Filed under: uncultured Lysobacteraceae bacterium
Lineage: Bacteria; Pseudomonadati; Pseudomonadota; Gammaproteobacteria; Lysobacterales; Lysobacteraceae
Description: uncultured Xanthomonadaceae bacterium partial 16S ribosomal RNA
Rfam family: Bacterial small subunit ribosomal RNA
Source: RNAcentral
UGCGUAGGUGGUCUGUCAAGUCCGAUGUGAAAGCCCUGGGCUCAACCUGGGAACUGCAUUGGAAACUGGCAGUCUGGAGUGCGAUAGAGGGUAGCGGAAUUCCCGGUGUAGCAGUGAAAUGCGUAGAUAUCGGGAGGAACAUCCGUGGCGAAGGCGGCUACCUGGACCAGCACUGACACUGAGGCACGAAAGCGUGGGGAGCAAACA